UCUCUCUCAAAAAUAAAUAAAUGUUAAAAAAAAUUAAGACUUCAGCUAUGACUCUGGCAACUUCCAUCAGUUGGUGAUAAUAAAAUAGAUCAGUUGCAACUUCAGUAUUUUUAGGGGAGGCAUGGAAACCUGAUGGUAGGAGGAGGAUCUUGAAUAAGUUUCCAAACUGAAAAAGAACACAGGGGCCCAGUAGCUUCCUGUCUCGAAAAUAAUGUUGCUUGUCUUCUUUCUAUCAGCAUAUUUUACUUUGCCUUUUAUGGAUCAAUAUAUCAUUAUAUAUAGACAGUAUUAUGGGAAGCAGUUCUUUUCAAAAUUGUCUUUGUUGUGUCCUAAUAGAAAAUUCUGCCUUGUGGCAUGUCUGUAUUGCUAGAGAAGACAGCCCAAAUGCAUCUUCUCCAGCAACUUGUAAACAAGAUGUCUUACGUUGAUUAAUUACUGAUGAAAAUCCUGAAUGAUUAGCACCUUUUACAUAUACAAGCAUCCUGCCUGGCCCCUGUGGGAAACUAACUGACUCUAAAGAACUAAGUCUCAGCCAGAGGUAUAGAAGUUGCUGUUUGCAGCCUCUAGAACCACAGUGGUUGUGGGGGUGGGAGCAGCGGUAAUGACUAGAACUAAUAAAUCACCUCUAUCCGGCAGUUGUACUGUCAUAAUUCACAGUGACUCUACCUCUAAUCAGCAACAUAUUUUACUACUCCCAAGACACCCACAAAGUUACAUUACAUGACUGACUCUUCACACACUCUAGCCUUAAUCGUAGGGCUCCCAUAAAGUCAUGAGACUGUCAUCUUCAUGACUUCAUGUGAGGGGUUCCAGGGACACUUCCACGUCCACAUGUUCUUCUCCCAUGAGUCUGCUACUGCACUUGAACUCUGCUACUGGAGACUUAGUGACUUCAUGUAUUGUUUUCAUUCGUUUAUCAUUCAUUUCCCCC
Leopardus geoffroyi (Geoffroy's cat) is the source of this 931-nucleotide long non-coding RNA. RefSeq lists it as uncharacterized. The transcript has 3 exons. NCBI's taxonomy places the organism in Eukaryota, Metazoa, Chordata, Mammalia, Carnivora, Felidae. The record is from RefSeq and is a predicted model, not a curated record.